AUAAAGAAGGCCCUUUUUGUUGGUUGAAACAAGUAGAAAACGGAGAUCCCAUGGAGUCAAAUGGAUUGUUUGAUCACUUGAUUUUGGUGCCUUGAUUGUAUCGGAGGAGAGAACUCGGACGGCACCCAUUAAAUUAUUUCAGGUUAUUUUAUACAUUGAGGCUUGGAAGGACAUAUAUGUAGAUCGAUUAUAUAAGAAUAUUUUUGAGGUAAUAUAAGAAACUUGAUCAAUUAAAAAACUUGAUAUAUAUUAAACGAAUAUAAAAAAGACAUGAGAAUAUUGUUAAGGAUAACAUCAUGGCAUAAACAUGUAACUAUAUUAUUCUUAUGAUACCAAUAUGUGGUUGCUAGGCUUAUUCAAACAAGAUAUAUGGUUGGUAGGUUGUGGUAAGAGUAAGAGAUUCCAUGAUGACUAAAACAAGUGGAAGGGUUCGGUUUCUGUCUCCUCAUAUAUAUUUUUAUUUAUUUUUAAACAAAAAGUAGGUCUGAAGUGGAGAAUAUGUACUUUGAAGGCAGAGGCAACAAAAAAAAGUGAGUGUUAGUGAAAAAUAGAAAUACAGUGGCUUGUGUCAAUACAAAAUACUAAAAAAGGGCCAAGCAGAGGCAACAUUUUAGAAUGCAUAUGCACAAGGUUCUCGUUGAAGCAUCUUGGUUAAAUGAGUUGUCUCAAUUGAACUGCUAAGUAGAUAAAUUAUCUUUUAAAUAUUAAGGUUUGCCAAUUGGUGAUAAUCCUCUAAAAUUAUUUUUUUAGAAAUUUGUGGCUGACUGAAUCAGAGAAAGAUUGUCUUCUUGAAAAUGUAGUAAUUCGUUUUGGGUGGUCGUCUAAUUCUUUUGAAAGUUGUUUCAACCUCUCCGCUGAUAUACUUUUUCUUUAAUUUUUCAAAGCUCGUCCAGGAACCAUUCUUAAAAUCGAGUCUCUUUUUAAAUCUUUUUUUGUGGCGUGGGGGUGAAGAGGCUCGUAAAAUUUAUUGGGUCUAUUGGGACAAAAUGUGUUUACCAAAAGUAAAAGGAUGUUUAGGUGUGCGAAAUUCAAACACAUUUAAUUUAGAUCCUUUGGGAAUGUGAUGUUGGAGGUUAAGGAGGGAGAAUGAUGGACUUUGACGUCAAAUUUUAUCUCAUAAAUAUGGUUAUCUAAAUGGUAAAGUGGUUGGAAGGGGAAGUAAAGAUUCGAUUUGAGAGUGAUGUUUUUACAUUGUUAGAGGUGAUAAGUAGAGUGGAGGUAGAUGGUUCAUGCAUACUAAGAAAAUAGGUAAUGACAAUAACAUGUUUUUUUUUUUUUUUGAAGGAAUAACAUGUUAUUUUGGCACGAACCAUGGCUGGGAGUAGGCAUGGCAAUGGGGCGGGGUGGGGACGGGUUUUACCUUCCCCGUCCCCAUACCCGAUUCUCAUAUACUUACCUGUUACCCUACCCAUAUCCAACGGGGAUGAGAAAUUGAAUCCCAUCCCCGUCCCCGAGGGGUUCGGGUAUCCCCGCACCAUCCCCGUCCCCGCAUUGAAUAAUUUUUUUAAUAAAAAAUAUAAGUUUUUUUGCAUCCCCAAGAGCAACGUUGUAAUACAUUAUCCAACAAUAAGCUCACUUUCACAUUUGUUAGACAAAAUUAUUUAGUUGAUCCUUUAAAUAUCAAUGACAGUUUUUAUUAACAUGACAAUUAUCAAACAAAAUAACAUAACAUAUCAACAUAGAGUAGUUUUUUACAUUUGGGACGGGUUUGGGUAUGGGUUCGGGGUGGGUACCUAUAUACCCGUUACCCGUCCCAUACCCGUGUUUCGAGAUCGGGGAAAACCCAUACCCAUACCCAAAUCCAGUCAAAACGGGGAAAACCCGUCAAAUUGGGUUUAGUUCGGGUGGGUAACCACGAGUAUGGGUUUUGUUGCCAUGUCUAGCUGGGAGGAGAGGUUUUAAAGAAGCGCUUAAGUAGGUUCUUUAAUUUAAAACUGUAGAAAAAUGUGACCUUGAAGGAUAUGGUGUUGUAGUAGUGUUGGAGUUGUAGAAGAAUUUUGUUUGUAUGAGAGGAGAAGUUGGUGGAAGAGUGUAAGGUUUUAUUACCUAACAUUCUUAUGCUGGAUAAUAUGCAUGACACAUUUGUCACUUAAAGAAGUGUAUGACUUGAUAUCAAAUUUUAAAGAAAUUGUUGAUUCCUCUCGGUAUAAGGUCACUUGGAAUUUGUUGAUUCCAAUGAAGACAUCAAUGUUUGCUUGAAAAUUACUGUAUAAUCGUCUUCCAACUAAAGAUAAUUUAAUUCGAAAAGGAACACAAAAUUUAUCACCGCCUUAAAAUAUUAAUGGAUGUAUAACUUGAAUGAAACAUCUAAACAUUUAUUCUUUGAUUGUUUAUUCUUCGAAAAAAAAUAGGUGGAUGUUUUAUCUUGGUUGAGAAUUAGUUGUGCAAUGACAAAUAAUUGUUUGAAUCAUGCAGUUUAGUUCACAAGAUUGGUUUCUCAUGGAACGAAAGUGAAUGAAUCUUUUCAUGACGUGGUGUUUGAUCAACGUGAUUGUUUAACUUGUUCCUCUUUAAAUUUCGUUAAAUUAUUGAUAUGAUCAUGGAUGAAAUCUAAAAAAAAUAACUUUUUUAUUUGACCUCUAUCAAUGGAGCACUCAUCACUCUUAUGUUUAUGAGUGUUUUUUUUUCCUUUCUUCUGUAACUAAAUUUUUAUUUUUAUUCUUUGGUUUGGUGUCACUUAUUCUUUGUGUGCUUUUAUGUAAUAAUUAACGUUGCAACUUUUCGAUCAAGAGCUUCUAUCUCGAAUGCUACUCAAAGUAAUGAACACAUCUUGUAAUUUGGGUUGAUUUAAAAAAAUAGCACCUAACUUUCAUUCUUCCAAAAUACCUUUCAAAAUUAUUUUUCUCCUAAAUAAAACCCAAAAUAAGAUUAUUGAAAGAAUUUUGGGAAGUGCAUUUUUCAGCAAACUAAUACAGCACAAAAGUUGCAAACUCGGUUAGAAAAAGUCAAAACCUAAAAUAAAUUUUCAUUGGUUAUUCUUUUACCUCUUUUGUCAAAAAUGUUUUGAAAUGCAUUUUAGUUUCUGUUUUGAAACCAAACAAAGCAUAUGUAAAUUUUAAUUCUUGUUUAUUACUAUUGUUUAGAUAAAUUGAGAGAGUGCAAAUAAAUCGAUAUGAAUAUCUGACAUUUCAUCUAUAUGUUGGAUCUCAAAUACUCAACAAUCUGAAAUAACAAUAUCAAUCACAAGAAAGAGGAUUUAAAUUACGGCUUUUAAAAAUUUUGGUCAGUUAGCAACCUCAAAAGUGAAGUAGAGAAGUGAUUAUGAAGUAUGUGUCAAAAUGAAUUUAAGAGAAAAGUAUGUAUGUGUAUGAUUUGCUUCUAAUCUAUAAAAAUUAAAGAAAUAAGGGAUAUAAAUACCUAAUACCUAAAAUAGUAGUCAUUUUAUUUAUAUAUUUCCAUACAUAACCAAAGAAUGGAAAAGAUUCUUCAAGAGUCUCAAGUCUCAGAAGCGCAUGAUAAAUAUUGCCAAAGCCUAAUAUGGCAGAGGAAAUAAAGUGAAGUAAUCCAGACACAAAGUAUGGAAAUGUGUCUAUAACUUCCCCUCCAGGAGCUACCCCAAACCUAGAGUAGCGGUGAAGUAAAAUUAAUCCUUGUUCAUACAUGAGAUUCUCGGGUACGAAAUGAGCGACUUAAAAUAGGUUCAUUGCUCUGGGAAAAAAUACUAUUAAUACGGCAUGGGCCCCCAAUAGUUUACUAUAUAAAUUGAUAAGUCGGGCAUUCCCGGCUCACCAAGCAAAACCGGUAGUUUCUUGGUCACGACCAGUUAAAGCUAAAUUUUUUUGAAAGAAAGUUUUUACAUGGUAGAACUUCCUCAAGGAAUACAAGGUUUUGAUGAGCUUUAUCUUGAGCCGCCAUCCACGCACGAAUACAUUCAUUUAAGAGAAUAUUUUUGGCGUAGAAAAUCUCAAAUCGACACAAUACAAUAUGAGCUAGUCUAAUCCACAAAGCAUGUGAGAUUGCCCAAUACAAUGCUUGAUGGUCAGAUUUAGACAUGUAAUAAAGUAGUAAGUAUAGUAUCAAAUCCACAUGGAUUGUCGUUCCAAUUUGGCAAUUCACAUUACUUAUCUAGGAACAAUAAAAUAAAACAAAAGAUGAGGGGGUUGCAAUUUAGUCUGUUUGCAGUAGAGCAAGAGCUUAGGAGUAACUUGUUUUGAUUGCAAAAAUUUAAUGGCAUUUAGGAUUCUUCGAAUCCCUAUUCAUUUGUUGGAAUUAAUUAAUGGUCAAGUAUUAUUCAGGGAUUGGUUAAAUGUCUCCCAUAAAAGUGAUGAGUUCGUGGGGUUUUAUUAUCCUACCAGCUGUCGAGUUGCACCUACUGAUCACACGAGUUUGUACCUAUGGGUAGGGGGUUCAAAUCCAAACCGAUCCAAAAUAAAACUGUAAACCCAUCCAAAAAAUCGAAAACCGCAAAAACCGAAUAUUUUUGGUUGCGUUUGGAUUUAUUUUGUAAAAACCGCUAGGAUCAGAUCAGAUUUCAGAUCAUUUUCUCAAAACCGAACCAAACUAAACCGAACUGUAAAAGUAAUAUUAAUACUUAUUUACUCUUUUAAUGAUAUUAUAUAUUGAAUUUUUAUGUUGCUUGUUGGUUUUUAAACUUAUAUAAGGCACUAAUUUAAUCUAUAUUAUUAUUACUUCAUAUGUUUAAAAAAUAAUCGAUAAUUUUCAUAAUGUAAUAUUAACUUUUUAAUAUAUUUUACAUCAAACCUAUUAUUUUACAGUGUUUGUGUAAUAUGAAUAUUAAUAAAAAAAAUUAUAUAUUUUUUUGAAAAAAGUAAAUAAAAAAAAAUAUUUUUGCAUUUUCGAUAUCCAAAAACUGAUCCAAAUUAAACUGCAUAUAUUUGGUUGUUGGUUGUAAAAGUAAUAUUAAUACUUAUUUACUCUUUUAAUGAUAUUAUAUAUUGAAUUUUUAUGUUGCUUGUUGGUUUUUAAACUUAUAUAAGGCACUAAUUUAAUCUAUAUUAUUAUUACUUCAUAUGUUUAAAAAAUAAUCGAUAAUUUUCAUAAUGUAAUAUUAACUUUUUAAUAUAUUUUACAUCAAACCUAUUAUUUUACAGUGUUUGUGUAAUAUGAAUAUUAAUAAAAAAAUUAUAUAUUUUUUUGAAAAAAGUAAAUAAAAAAAAAUAUUUUUGCAUUUUGGAUAUCCAAAAACUGAUCCAAAUUAAACUGCAUAUAUUUGGAUCUGAUCAGUUCAGAUUUUUUUAGAAUAGUCAUCCCAACAGAACCGAACCGCAUGUGAUUUUUACUUUGAAUCGGAUGACAUUUUACCUCAAAAUUGAUCCAAACCGCACCAUGAACACCCCUACCUGUGGAGUCUUACUCUCUCAGAGGUCAUGGUUUUAUUCCUCUCCAACUGUCGAGUUGCACCUUGUCAUGUUUUACUCUCUCAGAGGUAAUUAAAGCAUAAACUUAAAUUAGAGUUCCUAAAUUUCCAAUGGUCCUAAAGGUUCCCUUAUCUAUGAAUCUUAGAAGUACAUCAACAUAUUCUCCAUCUCGAUAGUUCUACAAACGGGCAGCUCUGUCUCGUCUACCUUAUCAAGGAUGAAAAGAAGAGUAAAGUUACAAUGUUGAUUUAAUUCCAUGAAGUUACUAAUGUUUCCCUAAUUAUCAUGGUCCAUUAUCUUAGUUACUUCCUGAUUCGGUUGGGUUUUCACCAAUUAGGUUAUGUCACUUCCCGAAGUACCGUUUUCUUAGGGUGGUUCGAUUCGAGACAAGUAAAUACUUCACAUAAUAAUAUUAAAUAGGAUUAAUAAAAUAACUGAGUAAUGACUUAAAUUAGAUAAUCCAAAAAAUAAAAUAGAGGUUCAUCUUAGAACCAUACCCUAAUAAGGUUUAGUUACUCAUGGUAACUAAAUAUAAAUUACAAAUGAAAUAAAACAUACCCUAGAGACUUAGAGUGAGGAGAGACCCCUUCCUUGAAGCUCCUAGUUCUUGCAUUCCUUUUGAAUCACGUCGUUCAGAAUGAAAAAUUAUCAAUGAGAGAAGUUGUAUUUAUAGGCUUGGUUACCACCUGGGUUUGGGCUGAAAAUUUGGAUUUUUUCCACUUAAAAAGUGGAAAAGCAGUUCUGACCCGCUCCCAGCAUGCCCCAGGCGCAUGGCUGGGCGCAUGAGUGUAAAAAGCCUUGCCCUAUGCACAUGGUUCAUUCCCUAGGCACAUGGAUUAUGCCCUAUUGGCAUAGGUUAUGAUUUUCCGCGUAAUCGCCAGUUUCUUUGUCCUUUGAGUAUUUCCUUCCAUAUAAGAUGUUUUGGGACUUGAGAAUAAAAUUCUUCCAUUUGUAAUGUCUUCUGAGGCGUCUUGAAUCUUUAUUCAUGGUUUUCCCAAUAUCAACACAAGUCUUCAAGAUGUUUUGCUUUGCCGAUUUGCAUGAUUUCUUCUUGAAUCACGUCAAAACACCCCAUAAUUGCCAUGUUUCGAGAAAAACUAGAAUUACAUAACUCAAAUAGAAAACAUUACAAAAUAUCUCGAAGACCAUAUGCAAUUGUUCUAAUACUCCUCUAUUUUAGAUUAAUAAAAAUGACUGAAAAAGAUGGUACAAAUAAAGUAAGAUGACAUGUCGUCAGUGCUUGAAAAUGCUUCUCAGCUUCUGCUCCUUUCCAAUCUUCUGGUCUCUUGAGUUGACCUAGUAAUGUUAGUUUGAGACUUGUAGUAUGUUUCUCUCAAGGUCUUAUGUUCGAUUCUUCCCGAUUAGUUUGUUCAUACAAAACUUUGAUCCGCUUCUAAAUGGAUCUCCCACAAAUAGACAAUGAGAUUAAACCCUUAGACUAGUCGAUCCUUAAGUUGGAUACCAAUUUUUUUAUAAAAUGAAAUAGCGUCAACUUCAAAAGGAGCAAUUUUAUUUUAGAGAGUAAAUUGAUUAAUAUCACUCAUUGGAAAAUAAAUUGCAUAAGAUGUGAGAGUGGCAAGUGUUUUUUUCUCAUAUAUUUAUAGACAAACAAACCAUGUGACAAGUUAGUUUCAAAGUUUUCCUAAAAAAACGAGUUUGCAAUUUACGUAAUUUAACUGACACCCAUUUAUUUUCUUCCCACCAUAAGAUUCCAUAAUAAACUUUAUCGUACGAUGUUGUUGCCGACAUUUAUUUUAGUUGUUGUGGUGUGGUCGUAUGUAGUUUGGUCUAAUGCACCCAUCUUAUUAAAAAUAAAAUAAAAUAGAUUUCAUAGAUUAGAAUGAUGAAUUUUUGUCAUAAUUUAAAUAAACUUAAUGAGUUAUUAAAGUAAAAAUUGAUUUUAAGGUUAGUUAACGUUUUUAGUCAGAAAAAGAAGGUACAUUUUUAUUUGGAUAAUUUUUGAUGGACCUUUCACGAGUGUAUACACUUUGAAUGAUACAGAGAAUAAUGUGUUAGGUUGAUUAUACUCCAUCCGUUUCAAAAUACAUGUCGUAAUUUUACAAUAUAUAUUAAUCACAUGACUUAUUUUGACCAUAUUUUUUAACUAAUAUAUAAAUACAAAUGUUAGCAUGUAAGAUGUUGUUUGAUUCGUUUCGAUGAAUAUUUUCAAAAUAUCAAAUUUUUAUAAUUUCUUAUUAUAUAUAAUUAAAGAUAUUAAUAGUCAAAAUUGAAUAUUAACAUGUGUGUAGUGGUUGACUGCGACAUGUAUUUUUAAACGAAGAGAGUCGUAUAGGAAGCUAAAAAUAAAUAUAGAAUGAAAUGUUGAAUUAGUGUUGGAAAAUAAUACAAAUGCACAAAUAUAAACAUAAUUGAGUGCUUGGUAAAAUAAAUUGCGUAUUAAACAAAAGCUGGAGAUGAAAACUUCUUACCAUUGAUAAUGGAACACAAACUAACAUAAAAAAUUAUUCCCAUUGAUUUUACACACAUCAUGUUGCAUUAGUUGGACGCAACAUCCAUGAAUUGAGGGUCAUUUCCCAUUGCCUCCAAAAUCUCAUGUGAAAGACAAACUUGAAGAUCUAUACUACCUUCUUCUAUUCCAGCAAAAACCGUAAUAAGUCCAUUUCCUUUAUAUCCACUACGAACUGCCACAGGCUUUCCCCAACCAAAAUCAUUACCAUAAACAUCAAACCACGGAGAACUGCUAAUGGCUAUGAAAUUAUUUUUUGCCAUGUUAGGAUACCUAGCAAAGCUUGGAUUUCUUAACCAAGACUCGUAGUGAUUCUUCAACUUCUCAUCAGUGUGUGAAACAAUUAACUUGUUCAUCUCACAAGCACCUUUACAAAGUCCACCUUCUUCCACCAACUCCCCAACUUUCAUUUUAACCAUACAACUUAUAAGUGCAUUUCCAAAAUAAUAUUCUGGUAAUGGUGGAACUAACCUUGGUCGAACUCCUAUCACAACUAUAUUAAAUACUUCUUCUUGUGGGUCAAAUUUUAUGGAACGCAUCACAGAGCACCAAAGGUGAGUUAAAAGCACUUGUAGAGAAGAUAUUUUGAUGGUACCAAUCUCAUCAUUGAUUUUCGAUUUUAGUUGUACAAUUUUCUCUUUUGUGAAAUGAAAUAUCCUAUUUGAUAAACAAAGUUUUUCCUCAUUAGACGACGAAAAACUCAAUUCAUCACCGUAAACGAAAGGAAAUCGUAUGGGCUGUUGAACACCAUUUGGAAACCAACGCUCUAGUGUUGGGGGUUUAGAUAUUUGAUGAUGACAACAACUACGUGAUAUUUCAGCCCAUGAAUUGAUGAAAUGCCACACAGACUCUCCGUCAACGACAACAUGGUUGAACGAGCAACCAAUAAAAAUACCGUCAACUAGCUCCGUUACUUGAACUGCCAACAACGGUUUUGAGGUGCCUUCGUAGCUUUCAACCCCGGUUAAAGCGAAAAAUGAAUCAACAAUUGGAGGUACAUAGGUAGGUUCUAGGAUGUCAGCAACACAAGUAUUCUCAGCUGCAGCAUGGAUAAAGAGUACACCUGCAUUGUUGCAUAUAACAGAACACGAGACGGUGUUGUCAUUGUGCUCCGUUAUUUUGAGACGGCCGGAAAGAGGUUGGAAAAAGGCAAGGGCAGAGGACAAAGAGUGUCUCAGCCGUUGGAUUUGGUUAGCUUCAACUGGAUGGUGAUAAAGAAGACCCUUUGGGUUGGUUGUACCAAGUAGAAACCGGAGAUCCCAUGGAGUCAAAUCAAUAGUUUGAUUACUUGAUUUUGGUGCCUUAAUUGUAUCAGUAGAGAGAACUCGCACGGUUCCCAUUUUUUUUAUUGAGCAAUGUUUUUAUUCUAUACUUUGAGGUUGAUUUGCUGACUUGGAUGGACAUAUAUAUGUAGUUGGUUGUGCUCUUAUAUAAAAAAAACUCGAUUGAUCACGAAAACAUGAUAUUUGGUUGUGCUCUUAUACAACAAAUUCACCCAACCAUUGAAAGAGAGUUGAGGUGUGAUAUUUGAACAAUCAUUUGUUUAUAUGUAUAACAAUUUUUAGAACAACUAUAAAUUUACAAAAAAUUAGUAUUGAUAUAAAGAUCAAAACAAUAGAAAAUAAAAUAAAAUAAAAUAUAAAUAUGAGAGAAAAAAUUAUUGGAAAAGUUGUACAAAAUAGUCGUACAAACGAUGGCAGAUUUAGACAUUUGAUAUAUGUGGAGCUAAAAUAGUUUUUCAGUGUAUUAAAAUUUUAAAUUUGUCUCUAAUUGUACAUUUCGUUAGUCAAAAUAAUCCUUAACAUUAGAAUACUUUUUGUAACCAAAAAAAAAAGAAUACUUUUAAUAUUAUCAUAUUAGUCAUUCAAUAUACUUAUUUAUUGUCAUUUAAUGGACUAUUUUGACUAACAAAGUGCAAAAUCAAAAACUAUUUUAAAAUUUUAAUACAUUAAAAGACUAUUCUAAUUAUUCUUACACAUUCAAAAACUAAAAUGACUAAUAAUCUAUUUAUAAUUAAUAAAUAGAGAAGUUGGAUGUCGGACUUUAACCCUACAUAUUAUUUCCACCUAUCGUUGUCUCCACCUAAUUUCCUUAUCUCCACCUACAUUCACAUGCUCAUUAUCACAUAAAAACAAAAGAGAAAGUUUUGGUAGAGCACAUAUCCAACACUUCAAUUUUAACAACACACAAAAUCAAGAAAAAAUUAAAGAAAAAAUAAAAUUAUAAUAUAUUAAUGGGUUAAAUAUGUUUUUGAUCCAUAUAAAAUAGAGAUAUUUCAAGUUUAAUCCUUACUUAAUUUUAAUAGAUUUUUUAGUCCCUACAAAAAAGAAUUACUUCUAAUUUUAGUCCUUAUUACAACAAAGUUUGUUUAAUUAUCCUUAAACUCUUAAAUUUUUGAACGAUUUUUUUAAGACAAGUUUAAAACAUUAUGAAAGGUUCAUUUACUAAAAUUUAGAAUUUUUUAACAUGAAACGAAUUAAUGUUCUUAACAUGUCUGUAAAAAAUUGUUCAAAAACUCAAGAGUUUAAACAUAAAUUAAACAAAUUUGAAUUGAAGAGUGACUAAUACUGAGUGAAUAAAUUUAUUUUAGGGAUUAAAAGAACCAUUAAAAUUAAGUAAGGACUAAACUUAAAAGGCCCAUAUUUUAUAGGGAUCAAAAAUAUAUUUAACCCUAUAUCAAUUGAUGCUUAUUUAAUUUUGUUAGUUUUAUGUGAGUAUUCUGAAAACAAAAUGCUGUUUAAUUCGAUGAGAUCAUGAACAAAUUAAUAAAACGAGAGUCACGAACUCCGGAUGAAGGUUGAAAAAAAUUAAUGGAACAAGUAAUUAUUAACAUCGAUCGUUUUCCCUAAAAAAAACACAUUGAUCGUUUAAAAAGAAAAACAAAAUAGUCAAAUUACAUAUUUAUCUAUUUAUUUUUUGGAAAAGAAGUCAAAUUAGAGACGUUGUUUGUUAUGUUUUUGUUCACUAAUUAUAAUAUGCCACAUGAACCAAAUUAUUCACUUAAAUUUAAAAUAGAAAUUAUCUUUUAUUUUUAUUUUUUUAAGAACGAUCCUAUUUUUAUUAUUGAUUUUUUUUUUUUUUUAAGAAUGAUCCUAUUGUUUUUUUAGUAAUGAUCCUUUUUUUUGAAGGAUUUAAUGAUACUAUUUUUAUGAUCGUAUAUUGUAUAUUGAAUAUAGAAUCCGUGUGUCAAUUAUAUUUCCUCUACAAAAAUAAAUAAAUUGUGUGUUGAAUAUUGUAAUAAGAGAACAAUAAAAAUUUAUAAAAGAAAAAGAUAGAGAACGAUAAAAACUACAAACAUUAACAACACCUAAGAGCAACCUUUUCGAGUGAAGCUUGAAGAUUGUAUGAAGAGAAAUGAUAUUUGUACAAUAAUUUUUGAAUAACUUUUAAAUUAACUUUUUCUCUCAAAUUUUAAUUGUGUUUAUAUCUCUUUAUCUCUUUAUUGUUUUUGUUCAAUAAAAAGAGAGAAUAAAAUUGUCUCAAAAAUUGUCACAAAAUUAUUGACAUAACAUUAUUCUUUUAUUAACGCACUACAAUUGAUAUUAGUAAAUGAAAUAUGGCUAUAUUACAGAUGUUUGUAGAGUUUUCUUUUAAGGGAGAAAAAUAACUAUCAUAUUAACAAGGAGAACAAAUAAUAUUUGACCCUUAAAUUGAAGAGAAGUAUACGGGGUACUCGACACACAAAAAAGAAAUCACAAAACCCUAAAAAUUAAGACUAAGAAGAGGACUCGAAAACCACUCAUAAAACAUAUACAAGGCCCACUUUCUUUCUAGAUCGGCCAAAAGCUCAGUUCGUCAUCAAUAAGAGCCCACUUUUGCAAAGGCCCAAGUGAACAGUGAUGACACCUCAUAAUAUGAUAGUUGCACUUAUAUGUUUUCGAAUUUUAUCAUGUAAUUUGAGAAUUUUCUAGAGGAUUUAGAGUGAAAUGCUCAUGAUUUAGGCAAGAUUUUAUAAUGUUUUUAUUUGAGUCAUUGUAAUUCAUUUCUUCUCCAACGAGCAACUCUAUAGGUGUUUUGAGUUUUUUUUUUGGCAUAAAUCAUGUAAUUCAACAAAGCAAGACAUCUUAUGAAAGUUAUGGAAGCAAGAGGAUCAAACAUAAUGAAGAUUUAAAGACAAAACAACUUUGGAAAAUUUUGUCACAAGUUCCAAACUCAUAUCAAGGAUGGAAAUCACACGAAGAAUGAAGAAAACAAUAGAUUUUGCAUCUGGUUCAUGUGCCGCAUGCAUCGUCAAGCUUGCAUAGCAAGGAUUGGCAAUUGGUCCAUGUGCCUCGCGCAUACUGAUCAUACAAAGAAUAGCUUUUAUUGUUCCAAUGCCAUGUACCCCCACACAUGUUGUGUGCGGUUUUUUGCAUAUUAAAGCCUCUUUUGAUCUAUAAAUAUAUGGUUCUGAGGCAAAAGAGUGUGACUAGAGCAUCAACCCCCUUUCCAUUUGUUCUUUUGUGUGUUUACUUUUCUUUUUGCUUUGGUGAUGUAUUCAAUUAUCAUGAGUAGAUAAACGCUUUAAAUUAGGAUUCAUAGAUGAACUUCUAUUAUUUGUUGGGUGAAUCCACAAGUUUGUGACAAAUUAAUUUUUGAAUGCUAUUUGAAUUAUGUUUUUAUAUUUAUCGUUCUUAAUGAUUUUCAAAUAUGUUGAUCUUGAAUUGAACUUAGGUUAAAAAUCUUUGAUUAAGUUUUCACUUUUCUAACCGAAACUGAUAAUUAUAUUCGCUCGAGCCGUUCACCGAAAGAUCGGGAAUUUCUCUUGUAUGACUAGGUCUAACGUUCUUAAACGCUCGUGGGAAUACAAGUUCCUACUACCCAUAACGGACCAAUAUUGAAAGAAGGGGCCUAUGGAACUAUAACUAAAGUAGGGAGUAUUUUGUUAGACGUCUUGAGCAUUAACCUCAAAUAGUACUUGAACUAGGAACAUGUUAUAUCCAACAAAGAUAUAGAGGGGAUUCUAAGAAUCCUAAUUGUUUCAACCUUUACUUUUUAAUCGCAACAAUCAAUCUUGCAAACCCCCCCUAUAUUACUUUGUUAUUUGUUAUAAGUUUAGCUAAUUGUCGAGUAAAAAAAACAAUUCAUAUGAAGACGAUAGUUUACUACUUUAUUACUUGGAACAACUUACCAAAUUUGUCAGCAAGGUUUUGACCCCAUUUCCAAGAAUUUUUGAUAUUUUUCUACAAGGUAAUUUACUUUACUUAUUUAUUUCUGUUGUUUCUUUUUAUUCUUGUUUUAUACAUUCAAAACCCUAAAAACGUUUAGUUUCAUGUCAUAUCCUUGUGUUUAAUUUUUUUUGAUAAGUCAAGAGCAAAUUGACAUAAAAAAGACUAAGUUGGAACCCCGCUUUAAUUUUGUGUCAAUUGCUCAUAUAUAUUUCUUAAAAAAAGAGGGGGAAAUUACAAAAUAAAAAUAAAAAUUGGGGGGGGGGGGGGACGGACGACAUAAACCUAACAAGAGUGUCAGUCGACCCCAAACGGGUAAUAAAAAAAAUUAAAACAACACGCAGGUGUAUCAACUUCUAAUUAAUCCUAAAACUAAUUGAAGGUCUUCUAUGCGAUGAUUGAACCCUCUGUCAACACGGAGGCAGUUCAUGUACCAUCAACUCCCUACAACAAUGGCAACAACCUAAACAGCCCUUUCGAGCCCCAAAGUCCAAACCAAACAAAGUGAAUGGCAAAUCUUAAGAUGGCGUAUGAAUCGUCUACCAACACAAAAACAAUUCAAGAUCCAUCAAUUCCCUGCAAAACAACAACGAUCUAGAAUCUCCCCUUUCAAGGAACCAAAGUAACCAAGACAGGCCUAAUUAUAAUCAAUCCCAAAUUUUUGAGAAAUGGUGUAUGAAUCAACUGUCAACACAGAAGGAUUCACGAACCAAUAGCCCCUGAAAAAAAUACAGCAACUUUACCAUCCCUGAAUCCUCCGACCGUAAGAUGCUCAUUACCUAGAAACUUCUGGAGUAACAUCUUUAACCGACAAAGUGGGGCUUCUAUUUAGAACAUAUGUACCCCAAAAAAUAGAUUCAAGCCAAAAUUCCUUAAGAACUUUUCUACAAGCUAGCAUACUUCUAACAAUAUUCAACAGUGUUAUAUUCUUCCUUCCAACAUCAUUUAUGUUGAGGAGUGUAUGUUGCCGUCAGUUGCCUCUUAAUUCCCUUUUCACUGCAAAAUUCAUUGAAAGCAUUUGAUGUAAACUCUCCUCCUGUGUCAGUUGUCAAGCAUUGAAUCUGACACUUUGAUUCUUUAUCAACUAAUGCUUUGAAUUUUCUAAACAUUUCAAAUGCAUUGGAUUUCUCUAUCAAUGGAUAUGUCCAUGUUUUUCUACUGAAAUCAUCAGUAAAGGUUAUGAAAUACAUGCUUCCACCAUUUGAAGUAGGAGUAAUAGGUCCACAUAUAUCUUAAUGAAUAAGGUGCAAAUUUUUAGUGGCUCUUCAAUUUGCAUUUUUGGAAUUGAAUCUCUAUGUUGCUUUCCUAUCACACAGUCAACACAAAUUUCUUCAGUUUCUUGCAAGAUAGGUAACCCUUUAAACAUAUCUUUCUUAGCUAGUGUAUCCAAACCCUUUAAGCUUAGAUGUGCAUAUCUAUAAUGCCAUAGCUUUGUAUCACUUGUGCAUGCACCUUUCAAACACAUAGGAACCACAGCAGCUGCAUAUAUCACAUACAUCCUGUUAGAAGACAUCUGACUAGACAUAAUCAGACCCUUAUUUUCAUGAUAGAAUUUGCAACUAUCUUUAGAAAAUAAUGUAGUAAGAUUCUUCUGCUGCAAUUGACCUAUACUCAACAAAUUGUUCCUCAAACCUGAAAUAUAAUACACAUCGGUGAUCACCUGUAUCAUUCCACCUAUGCACAACUUCAAAUUUCCUCUUCUCAUGACUGACAACUUUGAAUCAUCACUAAGCUUAAUUGAUUCACGAAAAUUGCUCAUCAAAAUUAAACAACCAUUCCUUAUUGGCUAUCAUAUGAUUGUUGCAUCCUGAAUCUAAGAACCACACCUUAUCUUUUGCACCGGUGUUAGCAUUUUCUUCCCAAGUAGGACACCCAUUUUGAUAGUGUCCCAACUUGUGACACUUAUAGUACUCCACCAUCUCUUUUCUUUGUCUUCCUCUUCCCCUUCCCCUUCCCCUUCCACUUGCUCCAUUUCUUCCUCUACCACUACAAGAAAUCUUGUGUAUUGCCAGGGAAAAAUGCCAGGAGCAAAAACUCCUGGCAAAUUUGCCAGGAGCUAUGCCAGGGAAAACUCCAGGCAAAUUUGCCAGGGCCAACCCCUCACAAAAGCCGUGGCAAAAUGUAUGGACAGAAAAGAUUCUUAUGUGGUCAGGAAAAAACAGGACGGUACAACACUUUGCCAAGGGUUGUGCCACCAAAAACCCCUGGCAAAUUGCAAAGGCUGCAAAUUGGUCAGCACAUCCUGAAAAGGCUACGUGAGUAGCUAUUUAAUUGAAUUGAUUGAAGAGCCGUUGGGCUCUGUGCGGUUUGCCAGGGGCUAGACCCUCGGAUAACCCCUGGCAAAUUGCAUCUAUACAAUUGCAUCGUUCCCUUUCAUUUAGUUACAGAAAAAAUUUCUCUUCUUAACAACCUCAAAAAACUACUCUCCAUAAUUUCCCUCAAAAAAAAAAAAAAACUACUCUCCACAAAUUACUCUCUUCUUCAACAACACUAAUUUCUUUUAUUUGGUAAAUUACUACACCUACAUUUUUAUGCUUCUAUUUUAUUUACUUAUAUUGGCAUAUAAUUUUAUAUAUGUUGUUGUAUUUAAUAAUAAAUAUGCAUAUUAUUUUUUGAUGAAGUAUUAAUACAUGUUGAAUAUAUGUUUGUUUUUAUCUAGAUCAUCUCUUGAAUAUAUGUUUUUUUUUCUCUUAAAAUGUAUGUUGAAUAUCUGUUUUUUUUAUUAGUUCUAUUAGUUUUUUUAUUAGAUCUAUAAUUAGUUUCUUUUUAUUUGAUAUAUAUGUUAAAAAAAAACCAGAAUCGAAUUUUUUUUACAAAAAAUGUUUUUAUUAUUUAAAACCGUAUUUUUUUUAAAGUUUAAUUAAAAAAAUAUGUUAUUUAUUAAAAUUUUAAAUUUAUUGGUGUAAUAAGUAUUAAAUUGAUGUUAUUAUAAGUAAAUAGAAUUAAAAAAAAUAAUUUCAAUGAAUAAGUAUAAAAUUGAUUUUAUUAUAAGUAAUUAGAAUUAUAAAAAAAACUUAAAUGAAAAAGUAUAAAAAGUGUUUAUUUAGGAAAAAUUUAAAAAAAAAAUAGUUGAAUGUUAUUCACGUAAAAAAAAAAAUAGUAUUGUCUUACACAAAGAAAUAGCUGAAGGUUAUUCACGCAAAAUUUGAUUAUUAGUGGUGUAAAAAAAAAAUAUUCACGUAAAGAAUUUUUGCGCAAUUUUGUUUACUUACGUAAUCGGUUAUUUAGUCUUGUCUAUUGAAAAAAUUUGUGUUACUAGCGAUACUUGGGGAAAAUAAACUAAUUGGUAUAUAUGUGAACGUUAUAGCUGAAGGUGCCAAAGAUGGAAUAUUAUCAGCAUUAUCGUAGUUGGAUGUAUGACAGAACGUUUGCGGAAGAAGAGGAUUAAAACCUCAUUUUGUGGAAGGAGUUCACGGAUUUAUUUCAUGGGCAUGGGGACAACAAGCUUGUAAAGAUGAGGGAGGGAUAAGAUGUCCGUGUCUGAAAUGUGCGUGUAGAUAUAUAAAGACUAACCCUGAUGAAGUGAAGAAACACUUGGAGAAAGUUGGAUUUAUGCCUGAUUAUUGGGUUUGGAUUUAUAACGGUGAACAAUUUCAAAAUUUUGGGGUGGGAGUCAAUGCACAAGCUUCGAGUAGUGGAAUAAAUGUGGAUGACAACCAACAAUUCAACAUGAUGAAUGAUAUGGUCGCUGAUGCUUUAGGUGUGGAAUUGUCUUACAAUAAUGACGUUGAAUAAAUAACGUUGAAUAAAUAAUGAUGUUAUGAUGAUUUAUUGUAUUGAUAUGAUGUUUUUGUUAUUGAUAAAUAUCUAGAAAUGCCUCUGAAAAAUAAAGGAAAUGGCAAGGGCAACAACAGGAAACGGUAUAAUACUCACGUUGUGGACGCAGCAACAGAAGCUAGAUUAAACCCCAUGCCCGUCACUUCUGCUGCAUCUUCUAGCCAGGGAUCAGCUGGGUCCUCCCAGGCUAGUGUAGCUGCUCCUCCUACGAGUUCUGCUCUUCCUCCCACUUACAUGUUGCCUCCAGUAUAUCCAGGAUAUUAUGGUACCAUACCUCCUAGCUAUCAUUUCCCACCAUAUUCAGUCCCACCACAAAAUCUUCCCUUUCCCCAACAACAACAAAUCUCUCCACAACAAAAUAACCUUCUCUUUCCCCAACAACAACAAAUCCCUCCACAACAAAAUCCACUCUUUCCCCAACAACAAAUCCCUCCACAACAAAACCCACCCUUUCCCCAACAACAACAAAACCCACCACAACCCCAACAAGAAAAUGUGGUCGAAGAGGAUGGUGCAACCCAGAUGAAUGGUGGUAGAGAGCUAGUGCCGUAUCAUGAUGUUUUCCCGGAUUAUCCGAAAGAUUCUCUUGGUCGAUACAUUUUAAGGCCUAGUGGAAGCUCGUAAGUAUUAUAGUAUUAGCUACAUAGUUCAAUUUCAAUUCUUUUAUGUAUAUUUUAAGUUGUAGUAAUGUCACCAUAUGAGUUUUAUUGUUUCAGCUUUUUACCGUGCAAACCGGCUGCUGAAGCUAUCAGAGACAUAAUUCAUAAUUGUUAUCAUCACUUUUGGAAGAAAUAUGGUGACGUGGAUGAUAAUGAGAAAGACCGCUGGUUUAGGCUCUUUGAGGUUACUUCAAAUCUAUAUUAUAAUUUUUAUUUUAUUUCAUAUGCACAAUUGUUAUAGUAUACUAAUUUUCUUUAAUAUGUUAUAAUGCAGUGCAAGUGUUCUUGGGACGCCGUUUAUCAAGAUAUAAUGCGGCGUAAUUUUCACAUCAGAGCUUCUGCCCGUUUUUCAGAUUUGCUUAGAAGAGCCCGUAUUCGGUUUGAGGAGACAGGAAAACGGCCACAUUGGAUAGGCUCACCUAUCUUUGCUGACUUGGUUAAGUAUUGGGCGUCUGAUGAGUUCAAGAAAAUAUCACAGAAAGCAAAGACGAACCGGGCCUCAGAAAAGGGAGGAUGCAUUCACACUGGCGGUUGCUUAAGCAACGGCGAGCAUGCUGAUCGAUUGGUAUAAAUAAUAAACUUUUAUUUAUUUUUCCAUAUCAUAUUUAAAUUUGAUUGUUUUAAAUCAAUACUACUAAAUUGAUGCAUUUGACCAUAAAUUUUAAUGUUUAAUUAAUUCAUAAUUUUAUUAUUUCUUGUGACAAAUAGACUCGGACGUUACGCCGGGAUCCGUUCAUUAACGAGAUUCACGACAAAACACACAAAACUAAGUCCGGCCAAUACUGUGACGACCGUGCUAGGAGAGUGCAGGUAAUCUUUGAUAAUUAUGUCACAUUUUAGGCCUUAAUGUUAUUAUUCUGUACAUGUAAUGUUUAUGUGUGGAAGAGCAAAUUUGCAAUAAUGAAAGAGCAAUCUGUGUUUUAUUUUCUUGGUAGACCCGGAAGAAUGUAACGUUUAUGUGUGUUUUAUUUGCAAUAAUGAAAGAACAAUUAUGAUUAUUCUGUACAUGUAAUGUUUAUGUGUUAUUAUUUUGUCACAUUGUGUGUUUUAUUUUCUUGGUAGACCCGGAAGAAUGUGCUUAUGAUAUGUGUGACUCCUGUUCAAUUUUAAGUUUUGUAACUGAAACUUGUGGCUUUCACUAACUCUUACCUUUCGGAUGGGGUCUUAUACUUUGCUAGCUAUUAUUGGAAAUACAUAAAUAGCUCUUCCAAUAUCAUCAUUCAGGGACAUUGAACAAGGUUACACGAAAGAAAGAAUGAAACUAAGCAUCAAAUAUAUGGUGGUUAUUUCAUGCUAACUCCGGUUUUGUGUUUCAUUUUCCACCUUUUUUUUUCAUAGGUUUUGUCUCUCUAAUGCAUCAUAGGUUUUUUCCAUUACAGACCUCUUUGUCUUGCUCUAUUGUUGAUGAUGAUACUUCUAGUUAUUGUUUAAUGUUGAUUUACUGGACUAUAAAGCAUAAACUAGGUGUGAAUGAUGCAUACACAUUGAAUACUCUCCAGUUGUGUCCUUAAUUAUUUUGUUAUUAUUUGAACAGGAGGAGUAUGACCGGCUGCUUGCAGAGGCUAUUUCUGAAGGGUCAACUGUUGAUCACUCUUUGACCUUCCGUACUUGGAAAAAAGUAGUAGGCGACAAGAAGAAGGGUAAACUCUAUGGUCUUGGUAACUUGGCCGCUAACUGUCGGCCGGGUAGUGUUGAAUCAACGCUCACAUUUACGCUCAAUCAUGGUGAAGGAUCCUCCCGACAGCCUGAGCUGACGCCAGAGAUGCGGGAGCUUAUAAAUAGAUUGGCACAAGAGCAAUUCGCGCAGCAGAUGGCGACUCAAGCGGCUGUUGUGCAAGAUUUGCUCAACCGCCAAAGAUCUUAUGAGGAGCAGCUCGCUCAAUUUAGGCAAGCACAGGCUCAAGAUCCCUCGCCGAUUUUAAGUCCCAAUGUUGAGCCUUAUCCGGUCGAUAGAGAUGAGGAGGAGGAUGGUGUGGAUAAUGAUGAUGAUGAUUGAAGGUGGUGUGUCCUUUAUGAUAAAAUUUUUGGGUCUGUAAUGUUUGGGGAAGUUUCUUAUACUUCCCGAUACAAUUUCUACCUAUUUGAUACCUAUGGUGUGUGAUGUUGGUACAAUUUUAAUUUCAAUGAAGCUAGACAAUAUUUUAUGUGUGAUGUUGCUUUAUUUUUCAAUGUUAACUACAUUUAAAUUGUUUGUUAAAAUUAUUUUAAUUUCCAUUAAUUGUUAUUGUUAAAACAAUUUUUAUAAAAAGAAAUAAAAAAACAAUUUAAAAACAUUUAAUUAAUUAAUUAAUUUUCGAAAAAUAAAAUUUAAAUUCUUUUUUACAAUUAUUUUAAUUAUUAAAUUUUAAUAUUUUGAUUUUUUGUAACAAAUAAAAAACGUUUUUAAAAGAAAAAUCGUACACAAUUUGCCAGGGGUUAACCCCUCGCACAGUCCCUGGCAUAUGAUCCUGACACAGUCUGCAAAAGUCUGUAUUGACCAGAUUGACCAGAAUACGUCAGAAAAGCCUGUAAUCUUGCAGACACAAUUUGCCAGGGGUUGUGCCAGGGCCUGUGCCAGGAGCGCAUUUGCCAGGAGCUAAACCCCUGGCAGAGUCAUUUGCGAUGAGCAGAUUAGCCUGGGAUUCUGCUCCUGGCAAAACCCCUGGCAAACGUCCAUUUGCCACGGCUUUCUACAUUUUGCCAGGGCUUCUGCCCCUGGCAAAAUGCAACAUUUCUUGUAGUGUACCAUGAGUAAAACCACCAUCUCCAGUUCUUCCUCUUCUUGAAUUUGACACCUUCAAGAGUUGUUCUUCUUCCUUUUUCUUGUGAAGUGUCAUUCUUGCUUCUUGAACAAGAAAAUUGCUUUGCAGUUCAUUAAUGGAAAAAGUGGUAAGGUCAUUGGAUUCUUCUAUGGAGCAAACCACAUAGUUGAAUCUUGAAGUCAUGGACCUAAGAAUCUUCUCCACCAUAGUUGUUUUUCCUUUCUUUCUCCAUGUGCAGACAUCUUGUUUGCAAUUGCUAGGGUUCUUGCAAAAUACUCAUCAGUCACUUUGAAAGUGACAGUUAAUUAGAAACAAAAAAAUUUAUGUAAAAGUUAUAGUUAUAAAGAAACGGAGGGAGUAUAAUAUAAGCAAAAGUUUAGUUUUUAUUAUUAUUCUACUUGAAUAUAGUUGAGUGCUUAAUAAGAGUAGUACAAAUUAUAACAUUUGAUGAGGACAAAAAAAACAUGAGAAAUGAUAUUUGAAUAUUCAUUUAAUGAUAAUUUUUGUGAUAAUUUUCUCUCUCAUACUCACAUUAUUUUUACUUUAGGGCCUUGUUAACGAAUGUCCCCGGGCACUCUUUAAGCAUUCCAAAAGGAGAAAUUAUUCCAUAGAAAAGUCAAAUGUUUCAAUUUCCAAUACAUUGGUUACAUAACUUUUCAAAAAAAGUUACCUUUUAAAGGUCUUAAAGAGUGCCCCGGGGGCACUCGUUAACAUUUCCCUUUACUUUAUCUCUCUAUUGUUUUGGUUUCGUACAAAUACCUAUUUUUAUUUUAUAAAUUAUGGUUGUCACAAAAAUGGUUGUUCAACUAAUACUCCUCAAAAAACAUUGUAGUAGAAUACAUCAUAGUGCACAACACAGGUAACCACAUGUCCUGCAUCAAUUGAUUGCAUAGUUUCUACUGUACUACGAUUUUGGGAGCGACUUUGCACGUCUUGUACUAGUUUCCUAGUUCUUAAUAAUAAAAAAUUUGCUUAUAAAAAAAGAAACAAAAACUGGAGAUCAAAACUUCAUACCAUUAAUAAUGAAAAAAAAAAACCUUAGACUUGGACAUAAAAAAAUUAUUCAUGGGUUGUCACACAAAAACCAAAUUGAAGCAUCUGAACAAUACUGCACCAAAUUGAUUUUACACACCUCACGUUGCAUUAGUUGGACACAACAUCCACAAAUUGAGGGUCAUUUCCCAUUGCCUCCAAAAUCUCGUAAGGAAGACAGAUUUGAAGGUCAAUACUACCUUCUUCUAUUCCAGCAAAUACAUUAACAAGUCCUUUCAUUUUAUAUCCACUACGACUAAGAAAUUGUUUUUGGCUAUGUUGGUUAUCCUAAGGAAGCUUGGAUUUUUUAACCAAGACUCGUAGUGAUUCUUCAACAUCUCAUCAGUGUGUGAAGCAAUUAACUUGUUCAUCUCACAAGCACCUUUACAAAGUCCACCUUCCUCCAACAAUUCCUCAGCUUUCAUUUUAACCAUACAACUUAUAAGUGCAUUUCCAAAAUAAUCUUCUGGUAAUGGUGGAAUAAGCCUUGGUCUAACUCCUAUCGCGACUCUAUUAAAUACUUCUUCUUGUGGGUCAAAUUGUUUGAAACGGGUCACAUAGCACCAAACAUGAGUUAGAAGCGCUUGUAGAGAAGAUAUUUUGAUGUUACCAAUCUCUUUGUUGAUUUUUGAUUUCAGUUGCACGAUUUUCUCCUUUGUAAAGUGGAAUAAUCUAUUUGAUAAACAAAGUUUUUCAUCAUUAGAUGACGAAGUAGUCAACCUAUCAGAGUGAUUCUUUUCUAACUCCAAAAAGAAAGGAAAUCGUAUGGGAAGUUGAAUACCAUUUGGAAACCAACGUUCAGAUGUUGGAGGUUUAGAUAUUUGAUGAUGACAACAACUACGUGAGAUUUCAGCCCAUGAAUUGAUGAAAUGCCACACGGACUUUCCGUCAACAACAACAUGGUUGAAUGUGCAACCAAUAAAGACACCGUCAACUAGCUCCGUUACUUGAACAGCCAACAAUGGUUUUGACGUGCCUUCGUAGCUUUUAUCUCCUAUAAAGGCAAAUAGUGAAUCGACAAUUUGAGGUACGUAGACCGGUUCUAGGAUGUCAGCAACACAAGUAUUCUCGGCUGCAGCGUGGAUAAAGAGUACACCUGCAUUGUUGCAUAUAACAGAACACGAGACAGUAUUGUCCUUGUGUUCCGUUAUUUCAAGACGGCCAGCAAGAGGUUGAAAAAAGGAAAGGGCAGAGGAUAGAGAGUGUCUCAGCCGUUGGAUUUGGGUUGCUACAACCGGAUGGCGAUAAAGAAGGCCCUUUUUGUUGGUUGAAACAAGUAGAAAGCGGAGAUCCCAUGGAGUCAAAUGGAUUGUUUGGUCACUUGAUUUUGGUGCCUUGAUUGUAUCGGAGGAGAGAACUCGGACGUCACCCAUUAAAUUAUUUCAGGUUAUUUUAUUUUAUACGUUGAGGCUUGGAAGGACAUUUAUGUAGAUCGAUUAUAUAUGAAUAUUUUUGAGGUAAUAUAAGACAUGAGUAUAUUGUU
RNAcentral lists this long non-coding RNA (22624 nucleotides) under Medicago truncatula (barrel medic). Its description in RNAcentral is "long non-coding RNA (MTRU_LNC001526)". Lineage: Eukaryota; Viridiplantae; Streptophyta; Magnoliopsida; Fabales; Fabaceae. The record is from RNAcentral.